Long non-coding RNA from Peromyscus leucopus (white-footed mouse), 2377 nucleotides. RefSeq lists it as uncharacterized. The record is from RefSeq and is a predicted model, not a curated record. Lineage: Eukaryota; Metazoa; Chordata; Mammalia; Rodentia; Cricetidae. The transcript has 5 exons.
UCCAACAACUAUUUCCUGGUUCUUUGGUUUAUUGGGUUCUGUUUCUUUCAUAUUCGUUCAUUGUUUGUUUGCAAUUCGGGAAAUGGCAAGGCACAAGAGAACAUAUUUUGAAAUGAUUGCAUAGCAUUAUUUUAGUCAAGGUAAGGUGAGUGAAGUUAGCUUAGUCUCACACAGUUUCCUAUACACUGAGUACUAAAUGCAAAUCGUUCAGGUGUGCCAUUAGGGACGUGGCUGUGCGUAACCCCGCUACUUCAUGAAAUUAGUAUUUACUAAUAAACUCCUGUGUAGUUAACAUGUAAUCCCUGGAUACUGCCAAUGUUUCCCCCAGGAGGCUAUGAAAGUAUCCACUCUGACCUGAAAUUGUGUCCCUUUUGUUUGGUUGGCUAGCAUACACAUGAACACCAUCAAAUGAUACUCUAAAAGGGUCUAGGGUCAGCAUAGAGCCUGGGCUGAUUGAGCAUAAUGCAGGGUGCUCCUUGUGCAAGAAGCACACUCUACUCAGUGUCAUUUUUAUCCCAUCAGGACAUCUUCUGAAAGGUGUAAAGCUUUACCUCAUAAAAGGUAUGGCUGAGCAAAUCUUAACACAAGGCUGGAGACCAACUGUGACUUUUAUUACACGACCAUUAGCUCUAUGGCCAUAUGAGGCUAUAACAGUACAGUCCAUGGUCCUUUGCAAUGGAAAAAUGCACUAAAUGACCAAGUCCAUGCUCUGAAGAUGCAACAAAUUAAGAUCUUAAGUACCAUGAAAAGCAAGGUUAUUUGUCCUUACGUUGUGGUGUGAAUGAGCAAACGGAGACUUCAGCUUUUUGCCUCCUCCCUUCUCAAUCCAUUACAGUUAAAUUGGCAUGCUGAGAAUCUUAGAACUGGAUUUAUUGCACAUUACAGUUUUCAUAGAUCUUUGACAGAAUUGGCUGACUUAUGUCACCCAAAAGGAAUGUCCACUGGAAUUAAAAUAACAUAGCAGUUAGUGUUUCUUUUGGCAUCUGAAAUAGUUAAAUAUGCAAAGCAAAAGAGAAACAAAUAAAUCUGAGCUAAACAUUCAGUUUAAAAAUUGAGAGGAACAAAAGUCAGGAAAUUUAAGGCAAGAUUGAUAAAAAAUAACUAGAGUAUGUUAUUAUAAAUAGUAUGUUGGUUAAUCUAAAUGCAUAAAUAUAUAAAUAUAUGUAUAUUAAUUCUAGCUCAUAUGAAUGAAAUAAACUGAAUAUUCAUACAACUAUUUUCUCAUCAUUUUUAAAGGAGACUAAGAGUUAUAUUUAAGGUUCAAUUUUAUAUUCUCUAGUUUAACUCACCGUGGUUAUAAACUAAAAAGACAGCAAAACCUAUAAGUAAUUGUUUCUGUCCAAAUGGAUCUAGCAGCUUCAAGCCACAGCUACAUGCUUACCAAACAAUGAUUAUGAAAACCACAGUUGAGCGGAGCAUCGGGAAACGGUAUUGCAAACCACAGUAACAAAUGUGUCUGUGAUACAGAAAACCACAAUUCACAACUAAUACCCCGUGUCGCCGAUGACGAUUAACUAUACAUGUGCAAAUGUGGGACCAACAAAUUGAUCAAGCAACCUCCCAGGCCAAUCUUAUUAGACAUCAAGCUGCUUUCUUUAUUAUGAAAAUGCAAUGUGGUGAGCUGCCUUGAGCUUCUGUCAACGGGACUUCCCACUAAGUGGGACUGCACACUAGAACUGUGAGCCAAAGGUUCAUGUCCGUGAUGGCAGAGUGGAGGCGUGGGGGCAGGUGGCUGGAGCUGCAGCAGAGAGCUCUAAUCUUGGUCCACAGCCAGAAGAGGAACAAUAACUCAAAACAGCAAGUCUUUGGAAAUCCCUCUCCAGUGAUACACCGCCUCCCAAAAGGCCACACCUCCUGAUAUUUGUCAAACAGUUCCACCAACUGGGGGCCAAGUACUGAACAGAAUGAAGAUAUUUAUGAAAAUACAACUUGGAGACUUACAGUUUCACGAAGAUGUAGUAACAUGUCCCUCUCUCCAACACACCUGUGAAAUAGCUUCCCCUUAUUGCCUCAAAUUCCUGUAUAUGAUUAAGGAAAGAAUUAUAGGAAGUCCUUGAAUUGUUGAAAGAAUGUAGGCUUCGAAGGGACCAUAAGGACUGAGCAACAGUAUGCCUAUGAGUCCCCCCUGUUUCUGUAUUGUGCCCUAUAUAUCCUAGACAAGGUACUAUGGAGGACCCCAUACCCAACCUCCAGGGUUAGUGAAAGCCAAAGUCACAAGAGCAGAUGCCAAUACCAAUGCAGUUCAGCUGUUAAGACACUUGCUAAGAACUUUAACGUGGCUGUCAUUGUAAUGCUUAAUAAGAAAAAUUGUCUUAAGCUGGGUGGUGGGGGCACAUGCCUUUAAUUUUAGCACUCGGGAGGCAGAGUCAGGUGGAUC